UGGGGAAUAUUGCACAAUGGGCGAAAGCCUGAUGCAGCGACGCCGCGUGAGGGAUGACGGCCUUCGGGUUGUAAACCUCUUUCAGCAGGGACGAAGCGCAAGUGACGGUACCUGCAGAAGAAGCACCGGCUAACUACGUGCCAGCAGCCGCGGUAAUACGUAGGGUGCAAGCGUUGUCCGGAAUUACUGGGCGUAAAGAGUUCGUAGGCGGUUUGUCGCGUCGUUUGUGAAAACCAGCAGCUCAACUGCUGGCUUGCAGGCGAUACGGGCAGACUUGAGUACUGCAGGGGAGACUGGAAUUCCUGGUGUUGCGGUGAAAUGCGCAGAUAUCAGGAGGAACACCGGUGGCGAAGGCGGGUCUCUGGGCAGUAACUGACGCUGAGGAACGAAAGCGUGGGUAGCGAACAGG
This 409-nucleotide ribosomal RNA is filed under the name Brucella melitensis. RNAcentral describes it as "partial 16S ribosomal RNA". It matches the Rfam family "Bacterial small subunit ribosomal RNA", at positions 355 to 776 of the family's 1533-position model. The record is from RNAcentral. Lineage: Bacteria; Pseudomonadati; Pseudomonadota; Alphaproteobacteria; Hyphomicrobiales; Brucellaceae. RNAcentral also lists the same sequence under 2 other names.